Molecule: ribosomal RNA, 207 nt
Filed under: uncultured bacterium
Lineage: Bacteria
Description: partial 16S ribosomal RNA
Rfam family: Bacterial small subunit ribosomal RNA
Source: RNAcentral
AGCGUAGACGGUAAAGCAAGUCUGAAGUGAAAGCCCGGGGCUCAACCCCGGGACUGCUUUGGAAACUGUUUAACUAGAGUGCUGGAGAGGUAAGCGGAAUUCCUAGUGUAGCGGUGAAAUGCGUAGAUAUUAGGAGGAACACCAGUGGCGAAGGCGGCUUACUGGACAGUAACUGACGUUGAGGCUCGAAAGCGUGGGGAGCAAACA